GACGAACGCUGGCGGCGUGCUUAACACAUGCAAGUCGAACGGAAAGGCCCUGCUUUUGUGGGGUGCUCGAGUGGCGAACGGGUGAGUAACCCGUGAGUAACCUGCCCUUGACUUUGGGAUAACUUCAGGAAACUGGGGCUAAUACCGGAUAGGAGCUCCUGCUGCAUGGUGGGGGUUGGAAAGUUUCGGCGGUUGGGGAUGGACUCGCGGCUUAUCAGCUUGUUGGUGGGGUAGUGGCUUACCAAGGCUUUGACGGGUAGCCGGCCUGAGAGGGUGACCGGCCACAUUGGGACUGAGAUACGGCCCAGACUCCAACGGGAGGCAGCAGUGGGGAAGAGUGCACAAUGGGCGGAAGCCUGAUGCAGCAACGCCGCGUGCGGGAUGACGGCCUGCGGGUUGUAAACCGCUUUCGCCUGAGACGAAGCGUGAGUGACGGUAAUGGGUAAAGAAGCUCCGGCUAACUACGUG
This 468-nucleotide ribosomal RNA is filed under the name uncultured bacterium. RNAcentral describes it as "partial 16S ribosomal RNA". It matches the Rfam family "Bacterial small subunit ribosomal RNA", at positions 28 to 507 of the family's 1533-position model. The record is from RNAcentral.